AACCUGGCAUGAGCAUGAAACUGGAAAUUAACAAGGAAUGAUGCAGAUGAACACCUGCAGCAAGAACCACUCUACACCUGUCCACAGGAUGUCUGAAAAAUGAGGCUGUGUUCCCACAAAUCUGUAUUAGAUGGAACUGAAUUAACAACAGUGCUCCAGAACCCUGGACCAUCCAGCCUAAAUUCCAUUUGGGGAUGAGAUGCGUUUUUGCCUCAGAAUCCCAAGCGGUAAGCACCAUGAACCCCUCAGUUCAUAUCUCAAUCUUCCUUUCUAUUGGAUUUUGUUCUCAAUUUCUAACUUCUUACUAGAUUAUAUCUCAUUUAAUUCUACUUGUUAAAGCUGAUUUAUUCUAAAAUUUGAUGAAGCAAAAGUCUGGAUUUUGCCUCAAUAUAAUAAGAACCACUUAAUUAUAAACAUUGAUGCAGGGCUUUGCUAACCUGCAUU
Molecule: long non-coding RNA, 444 nt
Organism: Homo sapiens (human)
Lineage: Eukaryota; Metazoa; Chordata; Mammalia; Primates; Hominidae
Source: Ensembl